AGGUAAGUUUUAUAGAACUGUGGUCAAGCUAGCUAUGUCAUACAGAAAUGAAUGUUGGGCAUCUAAAGUAUGACAUACUCACAAGACGAGUGUGACAAAAAUACAGAUAUUAGGAUGAAUGUCUGGAAACAUGAUAAUGAAUAUGAUUAGGAGUGACUAUUUUUGUAAGAGAGUGUAUGUAGCAUUCAUUAGGAUAAAAUGAGAAACAGUUGCUUAAGAUGGUUUGGUUAUGUCCUAUGUAGAGCAUCGAAGGAUCUAGUAUGAAUGUGUAAUAAGUUAGUGGUGGAAUAAGUGAGAAAGGAAAGAGGGAGAUCUAAAAUAACAAGAAGGGAAUUAGCAUUAAAAA
RNAcentral lists this unclassified non-coding RNA (346 nucleotides) under Hevea brasiliensis (rubber tree). The record is from RNAcentral. Lineage: Eukaryota; Viridiplantae; Streptophyta; Magnoliopsida; Malpighiales; Euphorbiaceae.